RNAcentral lists this unclassified non-coding RNA (352 nucleotides) under soil metagenome. RNAcentral's name for it is "partial contains 5.8S ribosomal RNA, internal transcribed spacer 2, and large subunit ribosomal RNA". The stretch from base 1 to 120 matches the Rfam family "5.8S ribosomal RNA", at positions 35 to 154 of the family's 154-position model. The record is from RNAcentral.
GAUGAAGAACGUAGUGAAAUGCGAUGAGUAAUGUGAAUUGCAGAAUUCAGUGAAUCAUCGAAUCUUUGAACGCACAUUGCGCCCGCCAGUAUUCUGGCGGGCAUGCCUGUUCGAGCGUCAUUACAACCCUCAGGCCCCCGGGCCUGGCGUUGGGGAUCGGCGGAGCCCCCCGUGGGCACACGCCGUCCCCCAAAUGCAGUGGCGGUCCCGCCGCAGCUUCCAUCGCGUAGUAGCUAACACCUCGCGACUGGAGAGCGGCGCGGCCACGCCGUAAAACACCCAACUCUUCUGAAGUUGACCUCGAAUCAGGUAGGAAUACCCGCUGAACUUAAGCAUAUCAAUAAGCGGAGGA